Long non-coding RNA from Pezoporus occidentalis (night parrot), 493 nucleotides. RefSeq lists it as uncharacterized. The record is from RefSeq and is a predicted model, not a curated record. NCBI's taxonomy places the organism in Eukaryota, Metazoa, Chordata, Aves, Psittaciformes, Psittacidae. The transcript is spliced from 2 exons.
UCAGCUGGGGCCAAGUGGUUUUAGGAUUUGUUUCCUAUCAACCCUAUCCCAUUAUAAAUUAACUUUGGAUUGAGUUUAUGCUCUUGGUUGUGAUCUCUUAAUAGUCUGCAGGUUGGAAUUGGCAGAGUGUACUUAAGCCCUACCCCUAACACAUGCCUUGUAAAUCACAGACCACGUCUGGAGGGAAGGGAGGCAGGUACAAAGCAUCUGGCUGCUCCAGUUUUAUCUUUGCUAAAACAAGCGUUAGAUUGUUUUUUCUUCUUCGCUCGGUAGCAAUGCUCACUAAUUUGGUUCCCCUCUUCGCUGCGGCAUCGUGCCAGAACUUCAGUUUGUUGUAUUAGCUUCAAUAUACUGCUCCCACUGCACUGAUUUGGAUGCCCUGGAAAUAGCAGCUGUGCCUAACUUGGUGCCAAUUGCAGCAAAGGCCAGUCUCAAAUACAGGUGGAGAAGGCACUGGUGGUGGCUUAAAGCACUCAGAUGAGCAAGGACAGGA